AAUGAACGCUGGCGGCGUGCUUAACACAUGCGAAGUCGUGCGCGAAGGCGGCUUCGGCUGCCGGAGAGCGGCGAACGGGUGAGUAACACGUGGGGUAAUCUACCUGGGAGUGGGGGAUAACCUGGGGAAACUCGGGCUAAGACCGCAUACGAUGCUGGGACUUCGGGUCCUGUUCUGAAAGCUGGCCUCUGCUUGCAAGCUAGCGCUCCCAGAGGAGCCCGCGGCNGAUUAGCUGGUUGGUGGGGUAAUGGCCUACCAAGGCGACGAUCAGUAGCCGGCCUGAGA
Molecule: ribosomal RNA, 285 nt
Filed under: uncultured bacterium
Lineage: Bacteria
Description: partial 16S ribosomal RNA
Rfam family: Bacterial small subunit ribosomal RNA
Source: RNAcentral